GUAAUAUGGAAGUGAAGCUUUCUGCUCAAACACCAUUUGAUCCAGAUUUCAUUUAAGGGCUAGGACAUGUUAACACAACACAGGGCUGAGUACUGUUAUCUCUCACUGGACAUUAUUAAAUUAUAUUAAUAUCUGAUAGCUUCUAACUAUCUAGAUGCUAUCUAGCUAAAUGUAUAGCAGUCAGCUAAUAAUGACUCUUUAUUGGUCACCUAUACAUUAUAGCACAGUGAAAUUCUUUUCUUUGCAUACCCCAGCAUACUAGGAAUUUGGGGUCAGAGUGCAGGGUCAGCCAUGAUACAGCACCCCCUGGAGCAGAGAGGGUUAAGGGCCUUGCUGAACAGUGGCAGCUUGGCUGCACCAGGGUUUGAACCCCUGACCUUCUGAUCAGUAACCCAGAGCCUUAACCAUCAAGCGACCACUACCCCUUUAAUCCCAGUUAAAGAGCCAUUAUUCUUUCUGUUUUCUAUCUUUUUUUUUUUUUUUACUAGAAAGAAGAACAUGAUCUGUACAAGCUAAAUGGUUAAAACUGCACUAGAACAUAAAUUGAUACUGUAUCUUGAAGGAUGUUGAAUAAUCUAGAACUUUACUGGAAGGACAUUGAAUAUUCUAGAACAUAAAUGGAAGCAUGUUGAACUAGAACUAGAGCUUUACCAUAGGCAUGUUGAAUAUUCUAGAAUGUAAUGGUUGUGUGUUGAAUAUUCUAGAAUGCAAAUGGAAGCGUGUUGAAUAUUCUAGAAUGCAAAUGGUUGUUUGUUGAAUAUUCUGAAUUGUAAACGGAAACCUGUUGAAUAUUCUAGAAUGUAAAUGGAAGCGUGUUGAAUAUUCUAGAAUGCAAAUGGUUGUUUGUUGAAUAUUCUGAAUUGUAAACGGAAACGUGUUGAAUAUUCUAGAAUGUAAAUGGAAGCAUGUUGAAUAUUCUAGAAUGUAAAUGGUUGUCUGUUGAAUAUUCUAGAAUGCAAAUGGAAGCGUGUUGAAUAUUCUAGAAUGCAAAUGGUUGUUUGUUGAAUAUUCUGGAUUGUAAAUGGAAACGUGUUGAAUAUUCUAGAAUGUAAAUAGUUGUGUGUUGAAUAUCCUUGAAUGUAAAUGGUUGUGUGCUAAAUAUUCUAGAAUGUAAAUAGAAUGUGUUUAAUAUUUUUAUUGUAUUCUAGCUGUUAGCUUUGUAUAGUCCGGUGUUUAUUACAGCAGUUACCACCCUACAACUUCUCCCUAACUGCAGGACAAUGAAAAUCAGAUGACAGUGAUCCAGUGCUCAGCUAAUCAGCUAGUCCUAAAUGUAAUAUAAUCUUUAACAGAUUUUUAAAGAAUCUCAUUUAUUUCUACAAGGCCCCAUUUGAUCUGCUGCCAUCUUGAUCCUCAUUUCACCUUAUUUUCUUUUAUCCUUUACUUUAAAGCCUGCGCACUUUUACUGUAACUCAGACCUCUGACUCUGGGGCUUGUUCUGUUUUAAUGAAUGUAUGAAUAUAUGAAUAAAUAAAUCGUUCCAUUUCAGCGCCUUCCAAUAGCCGCUAAGAAGUGUGAUGGCUUUGUGAUUUAUGGGACAUUUGUCUUCUGGUGUGAACCCUUGAAAAGGGGCGUGAUCGAGUGCAGAUUCCCAUUACUGAGCAGUUUCUUCAGGGAGCGAUGAAUAAAUGCAGCGUUUAACCUUUAUUUAAACUUAGUUCCUCCCUCUAGGCUUAACUGCACUCAUCACUACUGAGCCAGCAGACCUUCAUCUAACCUUUAUCUACAAGAUCAAGAGAGCAUUUUAUAAUUAACUUGUUUCGCAGGUUUAACAUAAAAUAAAAAGUCAUUAAAAAAAUUUGCAUUUUUUUUUGUAUAAGAGGAAUAAAACACUUCCGCGCAUGCCGUUACAAGAAAAUAAUCACCUUCAGGGGUGUAUCAGUAACUCUGCUUCAUCGCACCACCACGUCAUUCUUUUUUUUUUUCCUAUAACAGCGUGACAGUGUUUUGUUAUUAUUUACAUAAUCGUUAUCGCUGUACAAUCUUCGCACCACUGAAUAUGCAAAUUCCGAAUAUGCAAAUGAGCACAGAAAGCAAUGUCACAGUGGAGCUCUCUGAAAUUUCUGUGUUGCCAACUGGUAAUUAUGAGUUUGAUGGAGAUGGGAACGGUUUGUUUAAGUUUAAAAUAAUGACUGUAAAUUAUGCAGUUUCAUUAAAUAUUGCACCAACUAUUAUAACAAUGCUAACCAUUCACAAAUCAACCCGACUGAAUGGGCUAACCUUCCAGGACAAGCCAUUACCAAAAACAUCCGGUGUGCUUUUAAUAUAACCGUAAUCACAGUACUUUUAAUAAUGUAUAUAAAAUAUAAUGUUUUGUGCAUAUCAUGUACCAUACUCAGAGUACAGCCACGAGCUGUGUGACAAACUUAUAAGGAAAGAUCCCAGUACAGGAUCUGCGCUUCUGGCUUUUACAUCCUCAUAAACACAAUGGUACAGGAUCUGAAUGGCUGAAUCUACAUAGAUAUAGAUAUCUAGCUAUUACCUUCAGACAUUUAAUGAAUGUGGACAGUACAGAGGACCAUAAUGGUGGUUAUGAAAGAUACCGAUCCAGCCAAUUUGGAGUCCACAAAUGGAAGGGGAUCAUAAGUUUUAAUCGACUAGACACAUAACGCGGGCGAUAAAAUGAAAGCUGUUAAAAGAAAUCAGAUCAUAUUGCAGCCAGUAAAAUGGCUUUUCAAUCAAGCUGUGCGGCUAUUCUGCUUUUCCGACUUGUGUGUUUGGUUGGAUUGUUGUAAGAUGUGUGCAGGAUAUGAUGCUGUCACAUGACACAAAUUAUAUGAUCAAUUGCAGCAAGUUACCUGACAAAAACAUACGUUUGUCG
Molecule: long non-coding RNA, 2821 nt
Organism: Ictalurus punctatus (channel catfish)
Lineage: Eukaryota; Metazoa; Chordata; Actinopteri; Siluriformes; Ictaluridae
Source: Ensembl